This 389-nucleotide ribosomal RNA is filed under the name Escherichia coli. Its description in RNAcentral is "partial 23S ribosomal RNA". It matches the Rfam family "Bacterial large subunit ribosomal RNA", at positions 1 to 429 of the family's 2925-position model. Lineage: Bacteria; Pseudomonadati; Pseudomonadota; Gammaproteobacteria; Enterobacterales; Enterobacteriaceae. The record is from RNAcentral.
GGUUAAGCGACUAAGCGUACACGGUGGAUGCCCUGGCAGUCAGAGGCGAUGAAGGACGUGCUAAUCUGCGAUAAGCGUCGGUGAGGUGAUAUGAACCGUUAUAACCGGCGAUUUCCGAAUGGGGAAACCCAGUGUGUUUCGACACACUAUCAUUAACUGAAUCCAUAGGUUAAUGAGGCGAACCGGGGGAACUGAAACAUCUAAGUACCCCGAGGAAAAGAAAUCAACCGAGAUUCCCCCAGUAGCGGCGAGCGAACGGGGAGGAGCCCAGAGCCUGAAUCAGUGUGUGUGUUAGUGGAAGCGUCUGGAAAGGCGCGCGAUACAGGGUGACAGCCCCGUACACAAAAAUGCACAUAUUGUGAGCUCGAUGAGUAGGGCGGGACACGUGG